This 446-nucleotide ribosomal RNA is filed under the name uncultured bacterium. Its description in RNAcentral is "partial 16S ribosomal RNA". It matches the Rfam family "Bacterial small subunit ribosomal RNA", at positions 329 to 792 of the family's 1533-position model. The record is from RNAcentral.
UUCCAGACUCCUACGGGAGGCAGCAGUGGGGGAUAUUGCACAAUGGGGGGAACCCUGAUGCAGCGACGCCGCGUGGGCGAUGGAGCGCCUCGGCGCGUAAAGCCCUAUCAGCAGGGAAGAAGAUGACGGUACCUGACUAAGAAGCCCCGGCUAACUACGUGCCAGCAGCCGCGGUAAUACGUAGGGGGCAAGCGUUAUCCGGAUUUACUGGGUGUAAAGGGAGCGCAGGCGGCACGGCAAGCCUGAUGUGAAAGCCCGCGGCCCAACCGCGGGACUGCAUUGGGAACUACCGGGCUGGAGUGCCGGAGAGGUAGGCGGAAUUCCUAGUGUAGCGGUGAAAUGCGUAGAUAUUAGGAGGAACACCAGUGGCGAAGGCGGCCUGCUGGACUGCGACUGACGUUGAGGCCCGAAAGCGUGGGGAGCAAACAGGAUUAGAUACCCGUGUA